GGGGACCCACCCUGGGCAGUCCCCGCCGCCACUCCGUAGUAUGAGACACCGGGCACGGUGACUCCCGCCGCUGUGGCUGCUACGUGGGUUCCGUGGCCGUCUACAUCCCUUGGUGUCUCAAACUCUUUGUCUCCAUUAGGGUCACGGUAAUACCUUGCUCCAAUUAUCUUCCUAAGCAAAAUAAAAAAUGAUCAUAUUUAUCGAAUAAACAAGGUUAAUGAUGAUGCGAUUUACAUUUAAGCUUGAUUAAGGGUAUUUUUUACCUGUUACAGUUUGAUGAAUUGAAGUUAAAGGAGUUCAUACAAGUGCCUUUCCAACGGGAUGGAACGGGACCCAUUCCCUUGUCGCUAAAGCUUGCUGACUCUGGCCAUAUACCUGAAUAGAACUCCGUUUAUCAGUUAGUUAACUUGU
This 411-nucleotide long non-coding RNA is filed under the name Vigna radiata. RNAcentral's name for it is "long non-coding RNA (VRAD_LNC003912)". The record is from RNAcentral. Lineage: Eukaryota; Viridiplantae; Streptophyta; Magnoliopsida; Fabales; Fabaceae.